UUUAAAUUGCAUUACAUCUAAUCUUCAUCGCAUUUUGGUUAUUUAUUUCAACAUUUUAACAAAAUUGACCUUCUUAAAUGUCACAUUUUUACGCUUUCACCCAUUUUAUCGGUUUGAAGAAGCGAGUCGAAAUUUGAGCAACAGUCCUCCCCAGGCAGGAAUAAAAAAAAGCCCCUCAGCUGCGACUGAAGAAAUAUUGGAAAAACAAACAGGCACCAUGCAGCCUCGGGACAGCAGACUGGCACCAGCCCAAUCACCUGCAUCUACGAGAACAGAUGAGCUUCUUUGCGAAGGCAGUAAAACAGGGACAGAUCUCUGACACUUCCCCUUUCUGUAUGUGAGACUUAUGUCUGUAUACUGCAGGCCCAAAUGAUAGAGCCUCUCUGAGAAUCCGAAUUGUACUGGAGUAAGUCCGUUUAGUUCAUUUACUGUAGCUUCAGCUUGAAAAAAGAGUUGCUUUUUAAAUAUGCAAACCAGUGUCUUGGCAUAACAGAGUGACAGAACAGAACUUUGUUUGAAUGCGUCUUCUGACAAGUAGAUUAUACAGAGGCAAAACAAAUGUUUUUUUCUCAGUGGACACCUGUAUCCAGGGCAACUUGUAAUGUAUACACUUCACUUUUAAGUGAUAAGCACAAAAUCAAGAGUAACUAACAUUUUCCUAUCAUUUUUUUCCACUUGGCUUUUUUUCAGGCAAAGAAUACAAAUGCCUUCUAUUCCAAAUCAAGACACGCCUUUACUAUUGGUAGUUCCAAAUAGUCUUUUUUGUUGCCUGGAGCACAUUCUACAAACACCCUGUCGAGCACUUUUCAAGCUCGUCUGACCCCCCCUCCCCUUCCCAGAAGAUGCCCAAUCUCCAUCUUUCUUUGCAUAUUGCAUAUUUCUGAUGAAGUAUAAUUUUUGAAUUGCUCAGUAUGUCUUUUUGUUUGUUUU
RNAcentral lists this long non-coding RNA (930 nucleotides) under Lepisosteus oculatus (spotted gar). Its description in RNAcentral is "lncRNA (ENSLOCG00000021896.1)". The record is from RNAcentral. Lineage: Eukaryota; Metazoa; Chordata; Actinopteri; Semionotiformes; Lepisosteidae.